UUUUUCUCAUUUAUUUUUACGGUUCAAUAUAUGAGAUAAUAUAUCAGUUAUUGUGUUCUUUUGCGAGUAACAAAAACACUAAGUUAAAUUGGUUUAAAUAUUAAAGAAAUGUAAUAUCUCACAAUAAUUGGAAUUUUAGAGAUAAGGCAGGCUUUAGGUACAGUUCUGUCUGUGGCUCCCUCUUGUCAUCAAAAAUUCAUGAUAUUUCUUGAUCCUUUUAUUCUGCCUCGUUAACCCUUCGUCUUGCUUCGGUCUAGCUCAUGUCAGGGUACAAGUGGUCACCAGUGGAAACUGAAGGCAAAAAUGACUCCUUUAAAAUUCCAUUUAACAGGAAAAAGGAGAAAAUCAAGCAUAUAAUACAAGGCUUUUCUUUGGUGCUAUUUGGUCUGUUUAUUUCACAUGCUCAAUCAUGAAUGAAUGACAGGACAUACACUAAUGACAUUAACUGAGUUAGAAUAACCAGGAUUCAUACCAGGAGAUGAGGAUGAGGGGCACCUUUCUCUGAGUGAUUUUUGAAAUGGGUAAAUUCUUGAACAAAACUGGAGAAACAAAGAAGAGACUGGGAAGUUCAAAAUCAAGGCUCCAGCACAUUUGGUGUCUGGUGAGGACAAGAUCCUUACAGAUGGUGGCUUCUAUGUAUCCUAACAUGGUAGAAGAGGCAAAGGACUUGCUGCUGCCUGCAGACCCGUUUGUAAGAGUACUAAUCCCAUUCCUGAGGGUAGAGCUCUCGUGACUUAAUUACUUCUUCAAGACCACACCUCUUAAUGCUGUUACAUCUGAUAUUAGUUUCCAACAUAUGAAUUUUGGAGGCACAUCAACAUUCAGACCAAAGCGGUAUUUAUUUCUUGUGUAUCAUAUUAAAUUUCUUGUGUAUCAUAUUUCUUGUGUAUCAUAUAUCAUUUCUUGUGUAUCAUAUACCUUUUUAAUGCAUGCAUAAUUUUAUAAAUAAUAUUUACAUAUUUACUAUUGUUGUGUAUGUUUAAAACCUUAUGUUUGUUCUAUAUGUUUCUGUUGUCACUAAUUAUUAUGCUUUUCAUAUUGGUCCAUAUUGAUAUAUGUGGUUUUUAUUCAUUUAUUUUGACAGCAAUAUAGUAUUUAGCUUGCUCAAUACUUUAUAAUAUUUUUAAUCCUUCCUUCUGAUUAACAUUGCUCCACAUUCUCACACCAUUGUAUAUUUUUAUACUUUUUAAUAUUUGCCAAACUGAAGAAUAUAAAAUAGUAUUUCAUAAAACUUCAACUUUAAUUUGUUAAUUACCAUUGAUACUAGGAGACUUGUCUCGUAUUUACUGGCCAUUAGAUUUCCUUUUCUUACAUUGUUCAUUUUGUGGUACUAAUUUGUUGGUUUUUAAAAAUUAUUUACUCUGGUUACUAAUAUUUUGCAAAUAUAUUUGAAUAGUCUUUGCUUAUCUUACACUUGGCAAUGUUAUUUAUUUUAUAGAUUUUGUUAAAGUUUAAUAUAUGCAAAUUUAUCAAUCUAUUUAUUGAUUUGUAUUUUUUAAUGAUUGUUUAGUUUAUACUAUGUUCCAUACACAGGUCUGUUGGAUAAGACAAUCCUCCAUGGCCUCUGAGCACUGUUGCACAUCUUUAAUAUAUAGACAAAAAUACAAGUUCUGGAUUGCUCUUUACAAAGCCCGUUCCUCAGGGUUGCCUUUGCAACAAGUAACUUGAAAGGAUGAGGUAAUGUCUCUCUCUAGACAAAAUGGAGGCUUGCUUAUCACUCAUUAUAGAAGAAACAGAUUUUCUAAGCUCUAGGUUUCUUAGCUUCGAUACAAAAAUCACUCUUUGGAGGAUAUACCUGGGCCCAUACCACGGUACUCCAUGGAAUGUGGGGGUAAGAGGAAUCAGACAUAAACAAAUAAGCUCAUGUUCUAGAUGUAUGCAGUGCUAUGAGUAGUAAGUCCUUAGUCUCUGACUUAAGAGUCUUGUGUCUUCUGCCAUGAGUUUCCUUGUUAUCUUGUAAGAGGCAAAAAAUUACAGAAUGUUACAGGUUUGGGUGCUUAGAAACAUUAUAGCAUAGAAGAGGCAAAGAGUCCUUUCAUGAUGGAGCCUGCAUUCUAACAGAAAGAAAGAGACAACAAACAACACAAAUAAGGAAAUUUUGUAAUAUACAAGAAGAAGUUAAGUGCUAUGGAAAAUAUGAAGGAGACUAAAGAUUGGCAGUGCUGGGACAAGAGAUCAUGCUAUUUGUAUUUUGUCUAUAUUUUUUUCAUAAGGCUAAAACAAGGUUAACCUAUAUUUUCUUCUGAAAGUUUAAAUUUUACUUAUUGUAUUUUGGUUUAUAAUUUACUUGGAAUAUAUUUUUGGGCAUGCCAGUCAUCCAAUUUUAUUACAUUUUUUCAUCAGGAUAAUCAAUUGUCUCCAGGUCCAUUUAUCAAAUUCUUACGGGUUAUUUUAAAUGAUGAGAAUGGUAUUUGAUUCCACGAUGAGAGAUACACUCAGUGAUUUAAAAUAUUAGUAUAGAUGCAGUAAAUGUUUUGGUGUAAUUUUGCUUCAUAUUAAAAAAAUCUUUCGAAAACAGCUAUAGUUGACUAAUAACACAACAGGUGUUCUUUCCUUUAAACAAAGAAAUAAUAUGGUAUUCAAUUAUUAAACAAAUAUUUGCUGGUCAUCAUCUUCUGAAUUAUUUUACCUUGAGGCAUAUAGCAUGAGAAUAUACCUACCUUUUCAUUAUGGCUAACCAAUAGCCAAAUUUCAUUAAAUUUGGGACACCAUCCUGAAGAUCAAUGAGAAGGAGGAAUCCUAGUAUGGUUUUCAAGUAUAUAACCGAAUGUCUAUUUGUAUUAGCUUCAGUGGUUCUUUUCUGGGAAUAGAGCUUUCAGAACGUUUAUUAAUAUUAAAUGUUAGAAGUCCCGUUUCUAUUAAAUAAUGAAAGAGAAGCAAUUUAUAUUAUUUAUUCUAGAAACCAACUAUCAAAGUAACUCUCUUGCUUCAAAAUAUCUGAGUACCCUUCAGAUGGGGAACUUUUACAAACCAUCUUAUUGUUUAGCCUUUUUUAUCACAGAGAGACUAUCACUGUAUGUAAUGAUUAAAGCAUCUAUCCCCAUUACAAUAUUGCUCAGGUACUUAUUUUAGAGCCAGUCAACAUAUGUGAAUCCAGAGGUUUGCAGUUUUGAAUUAAUUAUAAAUUGAUGGGUUUAGUAAUAUGAAGACAUUGGACAUAGGCACAUGUUGCAUAUUUUCCUAAGUCUCUGAAUUUCAUACUCUCUUCAAUGUCUUUGAAAAUUAUUAGUCAGUAUUUCAAGGGAGAAUGGUGUUCCUCCAAAAGUUUUGACUAGCAAAUACCACAGGGUCUUUUUACUAAAGACCUCCUGAUAUCACAUUAUUCCCCAUCCAUGUUUCCAAAUUGGCAUCAAUGAUUAUGAUAAACUUAAAUUGUUUUGUGGGAACUGCAAAGCUAGUAUGUUAGCAUUGGCCCUAUCCCUCAACCAAGGCUCCAUUUUAACAGCUGUUGGACAGAUAUCUUGCUGUCAAAGUGGUGUGGACUGGACGGACCAUCUCUAACACCUCUUGUGGCUCCAAGAUAUUUUUAAUUCUAUUAAGUUGGUGGAAUAUAUCCAGGGCAGUGGUUGAAAAAAAUUUGUGUCAACAUACUUUAAGUAAUAAUUAUAAUCUUUUCUUCUCACAGUUAUUCAUCUUUUUAAAAAGUCAUUUCUCCAGCUUAUUUAAUUCCUCAAAAAUCAAAUUAUCAUCCAUUAUACAUUAGCAUUUGCAAACUUUUACAUUCAUGGUUACUUCCUACUCUCACUCCCAUAAGUCUGUGAAAGACAGCUAGUAAAAUCAGCCCAAGAAAUUCUAUCCAACUGGAAAGCAAAUGAAUAAACAAUAAAUAAAUAAACAAACAAACAAAAAUCACAUAUUCCUUACUUGAAAAAUGAAGUUUUCUUUUAUCUCAUAGCUAGCUAAUAACUACUUGAAUCUAAUACUAAGAAAACACAAUGAGACCAGAGUUUACUCACCUUGGAGUAGGGUGUAUCAUUCCAUUUGUUCAAGCUCCUCUAAUCCACACAUUCUUAAUUUUCUCAAGUCUCUUACUUCACACAAUCAGGUUUGCAUAUAAGUCAGAAAUAAUGCCAUUAAUAGCAAAUUCUAACAGCCACUAAAAUCCUGGCCUCCACACUAAAUAGUGUCUUCUUCUCAGAUAAGAUUAUUAUUAAGAGACCAACAUUUCAAUUCUGACUAUGCUACCAAUCAGUUAUGUGACCAGGGACACAUUAUACAGCUUUCAUUGACAAUUUCCUUAGCCUUGAAGUAUAUAUAAUAUUUAGCCUUUAUGUUUUUAAUGUUGCUUUUAUAUGUCUAUGGUGUUUGAUUUUGCAUAUAGUGUAUACAAAUAAUGUGUGCAUACUCAAAGUCUCUGAAAAUGAAAAAGUGCCUCAAAUCAUUAUUAAUAUCUAUCUCCAUAGACCAUCAUCAUCUAUAUCAUCUAAGCACAGUUAGAAAUGGAGAAACUUUGUGAGAAACUUUUCUUCAAACUAUCAGAAAAGAGGCACUUUCUUUUGUUUGGGACUACUAGUUGGAAGAAAAAUGUUAAGUGUAAGUCUGCAGAUAGUCAUAUUAGCCACUGCACAGAGAGCUUGCCCAGAAAUGAAGCAAUGAAGUUACCACAGAGGAUAGCAGAGCUAAGAAAUGGAGAGAGAGAAAGAGAGAGAGAAGGGACAAUAUUACAUAUCUUUGAAGACACACUUUGAGUAUUUUUUCAAGCCAGAUUCUUCUUUUGAACACACCAGUUACAUUAAUACAUCAACAAAUUCACUUUGGUUAAUUUUAGUUGUUGCUAUUUUUAUUCAUUUAAUUAAUUAAUUUAUUUUUGAGACGGAGUCUCACUCUCUGGCCCAGACUGGAGUGCAGGUGCAAUCUCGGCUCGCUGGAAACUUUCCCUCACAGGUUCAAGAGAUUCUCCCACCUCAGCCUCCCGAGUAGCUGAGACUACAGGUGUGCACUCUAAUUUUUGUAUUUUUGGUAGAGACGAGGUUUCACCAUGUUUGCCAGGCUGGUCUUGAACUCCUGACUUCAGGUGAUCUGCCUACCUUGGCCUCCCAAAGGGCUGGGAUUACAGCUGGGAACCACUGUGCCCAGCUUAGUUACUGCUAUCAAAAUUAUAGUUGAUUUUUUAAAAAAUUUCCCUUCUCAGAAGUUGAGUUAAAGAGUCAACUUUGUUUAUAAAAUCUUUUUAAGAAAAAGUAUCCUCAUUCCUGAAGGGAGAUAUCAAAGUCUCCCGGAGUUAUAAUGAGUUUAGUCAUGUAUUCUCAUGCAGAAUUAAAAGUUACCUCCCACUAUCUCAUCCCAUAAAGUGGACACAAAAUUAGAAUAUGCCCUUGAGAAUUUAUUCUGCAUAUCAGUCACUGAAAGAGAAGUCUAUUAAAAGUUCAGGAUAUUUUUGAGAAAUAUAUGCUCUAGCACUAGAGAAAUAAGUAGUGUACAAACUAGAGUGAACACAUUGGCAAUUACUAGAGACCAAGAAUGGAGAAUGCGCUGUAUAUAGAAAGCCCAAGAGGCCUGUUCUUUGAGAUUAUUUGUGUCCUUGAUGUGUUUAAUUGCUUCUAUGACUGUGUUUGUGUGUGUUAAGAAUCAGAGAAGUUUGCAGGUCAGUCCUUUGGACAUUUACCAAAAAGCAAAAAUAAUAGGUGUACAUAUAUUGUGAUGUUUGAGAAUGCCUAGGGAAGCUGUGCUGUUUGAGUAUUCAUAGAUCCAGAGGUAUGGCUAUGGCCUGCUUAGAACAUACGGCGACUGGACCUACUCUGUGUUGACUUUUGUCCUAAUUUCAUAGUGACUUUUUCAUGGCAUCUGAGUGUAUCUUUGGAAGAGAGGAAGAGCAAGGGAAGCACACGCAGGGAAGAAAUAUGGCCACGUCAUUCAUCAAGACAUGGAUAAAUAAUGUGGAUGUGAAUGACCAGAAGAGUUCAAAUCUUGCCAAGCCAUUUUAUUAGAGGGCUUUGAGAAACUAGCUAAAGAUAUUCUCUUUUUUGUUUGUUUGUUUGUUUUGUUUUUUGUUUGUUUGAAUUGAGACUGAGUCUCGUUCUGUUGCCCAGGCUGGAGUGCAAUGACACAGUCUCCGCUCACUGCAACCUCCACCUCCCAGGUUCAAACGAUUCUCCUGCCUCAGUCUCCUGAGUAGCUGGGAUUAUAGGUGCCCGCCACCAGGCUAAUUUUGUAUUUUUAGUAGAACCACCAAGCCCUGCUAAUUUUUGUAUUUUUAGUAGAGAUGGGGUUUCCCCAUGUUGGCCAAGCUGGUCUCGAACUCCCGACCUAGUGAUCCGCCCACCUCGGCCUCCCUAAGUGUUGGGGUUACAGGCUGGGGUUACAUUGCUCAUCCUAUUUUCUUAUAGUUCCUUAAAUAGCAGCAUACUGAGGAGUGUAGAUCUCACCCUUACAUGUCUUUUAAUACAUAUUUAUUUUAUAAAUAUAAAGAAUUUUCUAAAAUUUUGCAUGUUACAUUUUACAAGGGGCAUAUUAAUCUCUACAUGUAUUUGUUUUAAUUCAUGUCUUGUAGAAUUUAUGUCUGUGUCUGUGUUCCAUAUUUCAUAGCUAAGAAAACUGAAACUUUAAAAACUCUGAUAAUGUAAUAAAUUUCACACAGCUAAUAAGGAUAAGAGAAGUACAAGAGAAUGUACGCUCAAAAAUACUCUUUGCAAAAAUACACUUUGCAAAGUUACAAAACAAUGGAUCAACUGUUAAUCUGUCCUUAGACAAAGAGGAGGAAAAUAUUCC
RNAcentral lists this long non-coding RNA (6708 nucleotides) under Homo sapiens (human). Its description in RNAcentral is "HSALNT0203467". Lineage: Eukaryota; Metazoa; Chordata; Mammalia; Primates; Hominidae. The record is from RNAcentral.